UACGAAGGGGGCCAGCGUUGUUCGGAAUCACUGGGCGUAAAGGGCGCGUAGGCGGCUUUAUAAGUCGGGGGUGAAAGCCUGUGGCUCAACCACAGAAUUGCCUUCGAUACUGUAGAGCUUGAGACCGGAAGAGGUAAGUGGAACUGCGAGUGUAGAGGUGAAAUUCGUAGAUAUUCGCAAGAACACCAGUGGCGAAGGCGGCUCACUGGCCCGGUACUGACGCUGAGGUGCGAAAGCGUGGGGAGCAAACAGG
RNAcentral lists this ribosomal RNA (253 nucleotides) under uncultured bacterium. RNAcentral describes it as "partial 16S ribosomal RNA". It matches the Rfam family "Bacterial small subunit ribosomal RNA", at positions 524 to 776 of the family's 1533-position model. The record is from RNAcentral.